Molecule: long non-coding RNA, 1228 nt
Organism: Amphibalanus amphitrite
Lineage: Eukaryota; Metazoa; Arthropoda; Thecostraca; Balanomorpha; Balanidae
Exons: 2
Source: RefSeq, a predicted model, not a curated record
GUCUACAAUAAUGGCCUACACCAGUGGGCAUUAUUUCAUUUUUUGUGCUACAUUGGCGUUACAGUCAUACAGUCAUUAUAUCUUUAAUACAAUUUUGCGUGACAAUUUUGUCAAAAGUGUGAGCAUCUGCAUGGAUCUACUUGGACUUGGACUGCCUUGAGUUGUCUAUGACAUUACCACAUAGCGACUUUGACUAUAAACAUCAGGUGUGAAUUUCACAGCAUUUUUGGCCAAGCUAUAAGUGGGCUGCUGGCAUGAGUUCGCCUCUUGGUUCACCUGGUGCUGCCGCCUGGCGGCUAGAAGCCGAAGCUGUAGUCGCCGACAUCGCGCCGCAUGUGGCAUUCGCGGCACCCUCUUCUCUUCCCGGCGACUCGUCGGGAACUUACCUCAACAUCACCACACUAGAAGGCCGUCAGAUGACUGUACGUGUCUCCGCGGGAGGCUUCUCCAUCUGCGGUGACGGACACGAUUCCUGCGGCGGAACGAGCGAGGGAGACACCCCCCUCUCUUCUCAGGAUGGAGGAGUGGACGGCAAGGUGUACGAGACGCCGUACGCGCUGCUGAAUGACGUCAGUCCGGCUUACACUGCAGCGUUCAGCCGAGCGCUGGUGGAGAGACUAGGUCAGCUGGCGGAGAACGGGAGUGAUGAUGAAGAGAGAGAGGAAGAGCGCGGGAAAGAGCAGAAUGACGGUGGGGAGAGGAGUGGUGAAGUGAAAGAUGGAGGGAUGAACAGUGCGAAGGAGGAUGGACUCACGAAUAUGAACAGUUCAGAAACACCUUGAUAUUAAGUAUUGCUAGCGACAAGGCUAUGCUAGCGAAGUGUUACACGUGCUUUUGGUGAUGCUAAGAGCAGUGAGCGGUUUGUAAUUGUAACGCUGGUUAUGGAAAAAGCGUUGUCUGCGUACUUCACGUCGGCUCAUUGAUGUGCUCAGACUUCGGGUGUUUCAUUGCUAUUAAAAUAGCCUGCUGAAGAAGACCAAACGAAACAGUCUUACGUACUUGAGCGCUGCACUUGCAUUUGCAGUCGCUUAUUGGGGUGUCUUUCUGUUGGCAUGAUGCGGGCCGAGUUUUUAUCUAGUCAUCAGCGGCUCGACAUUGACAUCUUUUGUUGUGUAACAGGACCAUCAGUCACGUUAAUUUUCCACAGCAUUGUAAAUAAAACAAAGCACCUUACAGAGAGGAUCUGUCGGCGCUGUAGAUUUGUAAUACAUGAAGUGCCUAAUGCAUA